UACGAAGGGGGCUAGCGUUGCUCGGAAUCACUGGGCGUAGAGCGCACGUAGGCGGCUUACUAAGUCAGGGGUGAAAUCCUGGAGCUCAACUCCAGAACUGCCUUUGAUACUGGUGAGCUUGAGUCCGGAAGAGGUGAGUGGAACUGCGAGUGUAGAGGUGAAAUUCGUAGAUAUUCGGAAGAACACCAGUGGCGAAGGCGGCUCACUGGACUGGUAUUGACGCUGAGGUGCGAAAGCGUGGGGAGCAAACAGG
Molecule: ribosomal RNA, 253 nt
Filed under: uncultured bacterium
Lineage: Bacteria
Description: partial 16S ribosomal RNA
Rfam family: Bacterial small subunit ribosomal RNA
Source: RNAcentral